RNAcentral lists this long non-coding RNA (411 nucleotides) under Mytilus galloprovincialis (Mediterranean mussel). Lineage: Eukaryota; Metazoa; Mollusca; Bivalvia; Mytilida; Mytilidae. The record is from RNAcentral.
GGGACUUAGAGAUAUAACCGAACGACUGAAAUCCACAACUUAACAGAAGUAACCAUGACAUUGACGAACGACGGAUACAGCAAGUGAUGACUUAUUCAUUGUUAAAGUCUGUUAUCUAUUUUCUGUGGUUCAUUGAUAAUGAUUCAUGUACCUUGUUUAGCUGGUUGCCUCUUGUUUAGGUGUUCCUCAUGAUUCAGUAAACUGUGACCUUUUGAGAACUCCUCUGUUCUGGGUGAUUAUUUUAUACCCUGUAUUUGUAGCUCUCUUGUUGAGGUGUUCUCUGGUGUUCUUUUAUACCCUGUACUGUAACUUAUUUCUUAACAUACUCCUGAAGUGUUGACAAACUGACAUUUAAUGUGACCUUCAGACAUAGACAUCCCUAUAAGAUUGAAACCGAGAAUCUAGUAAGAC